UGAGCAAUCUGCCCUUCACAUCGGAAUAACCAUUGGAAACGAUGGCUAAUACCGGAUAUGACCUUGGGAUGCAUGUCCUUUGGUGGAAAGCUUUUGCGGUGUGGGAUGGGCCCGAGGCCUAUCAGCUUGUUGGUGGGGUUAAGGCCUACCAAGGCGACGACGGGUAGCCGGCCUGAGAGGGCGACCGGCCACACUGGGACUGAGACACGGCCCAGACUCCUACGGGAGGCAGCAGUAGGGG
RNAcentral lists this ribosomal RNA (241 nucleotides) under uncultured bacterium. Its description in RNAcentral is "partial 16S ribosomal RNA". It matches the Rfam family "Bacterial small subunit ribosomal RNA", at positions 118 to 360 of the family's 1533-position model. The record is from RNAcentral.